RNAcentral lists this unclassified non-coding RNA (394 nucleotides) under fungal sp. Its description in RNAcentral is "partial internal transcribed spacer region". The stretch from base 1 to 46 matches the Rfam family "Eukaryotic small subunit ribosomal RNA", at positions 1786 to 1831 of the family's 1831-position model. The record is from RNAcentral. Lineage: Eukaryota; Fungi.
AAGUCGUAACAAGGUUUCCGUAGGUGAACCUGCGGAAGGAUCAUUUCCAAAAAGUGCAAAUCUAAGAUAUACACCUUGUGGUGUGUGAAAAGUAACAAGUCUCUAAUUACUCUCGAAGAAGAAGUGGAAGGGUGGAUAUAUAGUAGUACUUUAGUGUACUCUCUAUAUAUACACACGGACACAAUAUUCUAAGAGAGGCCUUGAUGAACCCACAUCUUUGAGGGUGAAGCUAUGAGUCAAAUACUCUCUUCAAGAGUGGUAUUUUUCCAUUGCCAACCUUAGAAGACGUUAACAGAAUAAAGUCUCAGAUGUAUUUUUCUCAAAAGGUAUGCUGGCCAUACCAACAAAAAGCAAAAUAUAUUGACAACUUUUAACGGUGGAUCUCUUGGCUCGU